UACAGAGGGUGCAAACGUUGCUCGGAAUGAUUGGGCGUAAAGCGCGCGCAGGCGGUCCUUUAAGUCUGAUGUGAAAGCCCACGGCUCAACCGUGGAGGGUCAUUGGAAACUGGGGGACUUGAGUACAGAAGAUGAAAGCGGAAUUCCACGUGUAGCGGUGAAACGCGUAGAGAUGUGGAGGAACACCAGUGGCGAAGGCGGCUUUCUGGUCUGUAACUGACGCUGAGGCGCGAAAGCGUGGGGAGCAAACAGG
This 253-nucleotide ribosomal RNA is filed under the name uncultured bacterium. Its description in RNAcentral is "partial 16S ribosomal RNA". It matches the Rfam family "Bacterial small subunit ribosomal RNA", at positions 524 to 776 of the family's 1533-position model. The record is from RNAcentral.